RNAcentral lists this unclassified non-coding RNA (19 nucleotides) under Mus musculus (house mouse). RNAcentral describes it as "oocyte_clustered_small_RNA7516". The record is from RNAcentral. Lineage: Eukaryota; Metazoa; Chordata; Mammalia; Rodentia; Muridae.
UUCUUGGAGGUAUUCAGAG